CUUGCCGUCAGCCUUUUCUUUGACCUCUUCUUUCUCUUCAUGUGUAUUUGCUGUCUCUUAGCCCAGACUUCCCGUGUCCUUUCCACCGGGCCUUUGAGAGGUCACAGGGUCUUGAUGCUGUGGUCUUGAUCUGCAGGUGUCUGACUUCCAGCAACUGCUGGCCUGUGCCAGGGUGCAAGCUGAGCACUGGAGUGGAGUUUUCCUGUGGAGAGGAGCCAUGCCUAGAGUGGGAUGGGCCAUUGUUCAUCUUCUGGCCCCUGUUGUCUGCAUGUAACUUAAUACCACAACCAGGCAUACGGGAAAGAUUGGAGGAAAGAUGAGUGAGAGCAUCAACUUCUCUGACAACCUAGGCCAGCUCCUGUCUCCCCCCAGGUGUGUGGUGAUGCCAGGCAUGCCCUUCCCCAGCAUCAGGUCUCCAGAGCUGCAGAAGACGACGGCCGACUUGGAUCACACUCUUGUGAGUGUCCCCAGUGUUGCAGAGAGCCUCCACCACCCCGAGAUCACAUUUCUCACUGCCUUUUGUCUGCCCAGUUUCACCAGAAGUAGGCCUCUUCCUGACAGGCAGCUGCACCACUGCCUGGCGCUGCGCCCUUCCUUUGCUCUGCCCGCUGGAGACGGUGUUUGUCAUGGGCCUGGUCUGCAGGGAUCCUGCUACAAAGGUGAAACCCAGGAGAGUGUGGAAUCCAGAGUGUUGCCAGGACCCAGGCACAGGCAUUAGUGCCCGUUGGAGAAAACAGGGGAAUCCCGAAGAAAUGGUGGGUCCUGGCCAUCCGUGAGAUCUUCCCAGGGCAGCUCCCCUCUGUGGAAUCCAAUCUGUCUUCCAUCCUGCGUGGCCGAGGGCCAGGCUUCUCACUGGGCCUCUGCAGGAGGCUGCCAUUUGUCCUGCCCACCUUCUUAGAAGCGAGACGGAGCAGACCCAUCUGCUACUGCCCUUUCUAUAAUAACUAAAGUUAGCUGCCCUGGACUAUUCACCCCCUAGUCUCCAUUUAAAAAGAUCCCCAUGGCCACAGGGCCCCUGCCUGGGGGCUUGUCACCUCCCCCACCUUCUUCCUGAGUCACUCCUGCAGCCUUGCUCCCUAACCUGCCCCACAGCCUUGCCUGGAUUUCUAUCUCCCUGGCUUGGUGCCAGUUCCUCCAAGUCGAUGGCACCUCCCUCCCUCUCAACCACGUGAGCAAACUCCAAGACAUCUUCUACCCCAACACCAGCAAUUGUGCCAAGGGCCAUUAGGCUCUCAGCAUGACUAUUUUUAGAGACCCCGUGUCUGUCACUGAAACCUUUUUUGUGGGAGACUAUUCCUCCCAUCUGCAACAGCUGCCCCUGCUGACUGCCCUUCUCUCCUCCCUCUCAUCCCAGAGAAACAGGUCAGCUGGGAGCUUCUGCCCCCACUGCCUAGGGACCAACAGGGGCAGGAGGCAGUCACUGACCCCGAGACGUUUGC
RNAcentral lists this long non-coding RNA (1439 nucleotides) under Homo sapiens (human). Its description in RNAcentral is "non-protein coding lnc-SNRNP25-4:3". Lineage: Eukaryota; Metazoa; Chordata; Mammalia; Primates; Hominidae. The record is from RNAcentral.